CAGGCCCACGGUGGCUCAUUAGCAUGGUGCUCAUUAGUAUGCGCCUUAUUUGCAUACCCAGGGUGCACCACGGGCUGGCGGCGCACUACCGGUAAAGCUGUCCGCCGCCGCUGCAGCUCCCGCGGGGCCGCUCGGGUCCGGGCGCGGGGCCGUACCGGUGUGCGCCGCCUGGGGCCCAGCCGGCGCGGCGGGGGAUCGAGCUGGGGGCGGCGGGGGUCGCCGUGAUCUGUGGAGCGACAUCCGGGGGUGGGUACAUGUGCGGGGGGGCCCUACCAGCCAUACUCUGGUUUCUCUUCAAAUCGUAUAAAUCUUUCGCCUUUUACUAAAGAUUUCCGUGGAGGGGAACAAGCACGAGUGUCAGGGAAUUUUUUGAGGCUCCACCUCGGUGGAGCUGUCUCUGCGCUAGUGAAAGACAGAACGAAUAAACCGGGAAGUAUUGUAACCGGGAGUGGCGGUCGGUGGGCGUAGGUGACACCUAUGCCAGGGCCGGCAGCUUCCCGCAGCGCUGAGCCGCUGCUCGGGCCCUUCCGCGCCGCAGCCGCCCCGUUCCCGUUGCCUGCUCAAAUGAUGAGCGGGUGACUAGGUGGGAGCUCGGGUGGGCCCUUCUCCAGCCCCGGGCGGUGCGGCGGGGCCGCUGCCUGCCGGCGGCUCGGGCCCCGGAACGACCAGUUAGCUGGGGACCUGUUCUGGUGCGACGGGCCGGCUCCGCAGCGCUGUCCGGCCGCUCCGGCGCUGUUGGCCCCGCGGGGCUCUCGGGCAGGCCCAGUCGGUACCGCUCGGGGCCCAGCCGCGCCCCGCCCUCGCCGCCGAGCUCCGCUCCGUGGCGGCCGAAGCGGCGGUGGGGGCGGCCGGUGGCCUCCCCCGGAGCCGAUUUUUGGCCUCUGCGCGGCGCUGCCCGCGGGGACGAUACGACCCAACCCGGGUGCAACACGGUCCUUCCCGCUUCGGCUCGCUGGCGCCGGCGGCUCCAACUCAGCGCUGUCCCCGUCCGUGCCGCGGCGCCGGGGGCCGGCAACGCCGCGCCCUUAGCAUGUCCCUCACCGCAAUGGCUGCGAUUAGCAUACCCAGGGUGCCCCGCGGGCGGCGCGGUGUGACACCGGCAACGGGCACCCCCGCUCGGCGGCACCGGGGUCUGGGGCCCAGCGGGGGUGUCGUAGCCGGGACGGGCCGGUGUCGGGCCGGAGGGCGGCGGGGUUCCGAGUAAUGGUCGCCGUGUGCUGUGGGGCGGCGGCCGAGGCUGGGUAUGCGUGCGGGGGGAGGGCGCACUUAUACUCCGGUUUCUCUUCAGAUCGUAUAAAUCUUUCGCCUUUUACUAAAGAUUUCCGUGGAGAGAAACAAACACGAGUGUUGUCGAAAUUUUUUAAGGCUCCAUUUCGGUGGAGCUGUUCUUUAUUUGGUCAAAAGCAGAGCUAGAGUAAACAACUGAGCCUUGCAUACCUGCUUGCGGCAGUAGCAAGGGGCAGCCGUCGCGCUUGGGGCUGGCGGCGGAAGGGAUCCGCUGCGGGAUCGGGGCUGGCGGCGGAAGGGAUCCGCUGAGGGGUCGGGGCUGGCGGCGGAAGGGAUCCGCUGCAGGACCGAGGCGGGCAGCAGCAGAGCCCGCCCAUCUCGGGCCCCUCUGCGCCGCCUCCGUCGACCGCGCCGCCGCCUCAUUAGCAUGUGCCUCAUUACCCGGCGGCUGUUUUGCAUACCCAGGGUGCACCGCGGCCGCACCGCGACGCUGCCGGUGCCCGCCGCCGCUGCUCCCGCCGCCGGUCCGGGUCUGCCUGACCCAACCAGACUUUGUCUGAGGGAGCCUGUGCUGGCGUACGUUAAGCAGGCAGCUGCUGCAAAAGUCAUUGGGGGAUGAUGGCCUGUCUCAUUGCAGCGUACUAGCCAAGGAGUUAGCAGGAGUGGCUGAAGACCUGAUCCAUCUGAAAGUGGUACAUGGCCUGAUGGUUGCUUUGGGGAACGUGGAUCACGUGGCCAGCCAGAGACAUGCCAGCAUCUCCCUGGAGGACAGUCCUGAGACCUGGUACACAAAAAUGGAUCCAGUCCAGGCUGAAGAACUAGUCUCCAAUACAGUAGACAUCCCCAGAGACAUGGCAAGGAUGCAGUCCACAGCAGGUGAGCAGGAAUGACUGUCCACCAGAAGGGGGAAAAAAAAAAAGCAACUUCAAUCCAGAACCACACCUGUGAAUAUGUCAAGAUUCACAGUGCUCCUGAAUGCUUAUAACAAGAAUUACCAUACGUCCUUUCAGAGUGGAAUGCUUUCCAGGAAGGAACUAAGCAGCCUUUUGUGAACUAAAUGAAGGAAAGCUACCAAGCCUGAAACAUGCAAGUGUCUUUUUACUUGUCACCUCACUGGAGAGGUGCAGGGGCAUGUAAAGGAGAGACCAGGAGGCACUCACUACUCUGUUACAGGUGUUCCAGGUAUCAGCAAGACCCCCCAGGGAAACUUGGGGCUCAGUCCCUGCAGAUAUAAGCCUUGCCUUGCAGGUACCCAAAGUCAGCCAUGUGGCCCUCAAAACACACUCCCACCAUCUGCUUAGAGGCAUUUGAGUUCUCUAGGUCCUUUAGAUUUACCCAAAUUAUCCAAGGUGCCAUACCCUAUUAGUUCAUAUCAAAGUCCCUCAAGAACACCAAGUGUUUUGUGCCAUCUCUAGGGCCACAUCAGGGACACAUUCUUAGCCUACCCUUACAGGUGCAACCCAAAGUACUAAAAAAAAAGUAAAGAGCAUGGAGGUAACCACUGAGGACAGUGUAAGCUUCCUACAAAAACCAGGGCAGUCUGAAGUCUGGCAUGAGAGACUGCUCUGAGGAAAGGAGACAGUCAUGGUUUUAUACAAUCUCUAUUAUGUCUCACACAUAGAACACCCAGGUUAGUUUCAUAAGACAGCUCUGAGAUAACUUGCUUUUAACAACCAACCUCCAAAUUACCAUUACAAGCAAUAGAAGAGAACUAGAUUUCAAAGGUCAGAAUAAAAGCAGCCAAAACGCCUUCUGCAACAACAGUAGAAUCCCCAAGUUAGAAAGGC
Falco peregrinus (peregrine falcon) is the source of this 3014-nucleotide RNA transcript. It is a transcript of the gene named armadillo like helical domain containing 1, with no coding region annotated. The transcript has 5 exons. NCBI's taxonomy places the organism in Eukaryota, Metazoa, Chordata, Aves, Falconiformes, Falconidae. The record is from RefSeq and is a predicted model, not a curated record.